Molecule: unclassified non-coding RNA, 320 nt
Filed under: Hevea brasiliensis (rubber tree)
Lineage: Eukaryota; Viridiplantae; Streptophyta; Magnoliopsida; Malpighiales; Euphorbiaceae
Source: RNAcentral
GAACUUAAUUGCGUCUCCAGCAUCAUAGUAGCCACCAGAAAGAUCUUUAAAGAGAGACGAUGAGCCAUCGCCAUCUCGUGUGCAGGAAUUGCCCCUCCAGGACACAUUAUUAUGCUUCGGGAGCUUACCAGAUCGCUGAGCGUUGAAGAACAUGAGGGCUUUAUGGAGGGCAAGAGUGUAAUUGUCCGGCGGCGGGUGGGGAUGGUGGUGGCGUGGCACCGUUUUGACGAUUAAAGUAAUAAGACCGGCGAGAAACCCAGAUACAAGUAGGGUUCCAACAGUCCAGACGAAGAUCUUACGGCUGACAAUAAUGCAGCCGA